RNAcentral lists this ribosomal RNA (357 nucleotides) under uncultured Geobacillus sp. RNAcentral's name for it is "bacterial SSU rRNA". It matches the Rfam family "Bacterial small subunit ribosomal RNA", at positions 1026 to 1382 of the family's 1533-position model. The record is from RNAcentral. Lineage: Bacteria; Bacillati; Bacillota; Bacilli; Caryophanales; Anoxybacillaceae.
ACAGGGUGACAGGUGGUGCAUGGUUGUCGUCAGCUCGUGUCGUGAGAUGUUGGGGUUAAGUCCCCGCAACGAGCGCAACCCUCGCCUCUAGUUGCCAGCAUUCGGUUGGGCACUCUAGAGGGACUGCCGGCGACAAGUCGGAGGAAGGUGGGGAUGACGUCAAAUCAUCAUGCCCCUUAUGACCUGGGCUACACACGUGCUACAAUGGGCGGUACAAAGGGCUGCGAACCCGCGAGGGGGAGCGAAUCCCAAAAAGCCGCUCUCAGUUCGGAUUGCAGGCUGCAACUCGCCUGCACGAAGCCGGAAUCGCUAGUAAUCGCGGAUCAGCAUGCCGCGGUGAAUACGUUCCCGGGCCUU